UAAGUGAAUUCGAGCAGCUUGUCUUG
This 26-nucleotide non-coding RNA is filed under the name Mus musculus (house mouse). Lineage: Eukaryota; Metazoa; Chordata; Mammalia; Rodentia; Muridae. The record is from RNAcentral.